ACUCCUACGGGUGGCUGCAGUGGGGAAUAUUGGACAAUGGGGGCAACCCUGAUCCAGCAAUGCCGCGUGUGUGAAGAAGGCCUUAGGGUUGUAAAGCACUUUCGUUAGUGAAGAAAGGUUUAUGGCUAAUACCUAUGAAUUUGACAUUAGCUAAAGAAGAAGCACCGGCUAACUCCGUGCCAGCAGCCGCGGUAAUACGGAGGGUGCAAGCGUUAUUCGGAAUGACUGGGCGUAAAGCGCACGCAGGCGGUUAUUUAAGUCAGAUGUGAAAGCCCCGGGCUUAACCUGGGAAUUGCAUUUGAAACUGGGUAACUAGAGUAUGUCAGAGGAAGGCGGAAUUUCCAGUGUAGCAGUGAAAUGCGUAGAGAUUGGAAGGAACACCGAUGGCGAAGGCAGCCUUCUGGGGCAAUACUGACGCUCAUGUGCGAAAGCGUGGGUAGCAAACAGGAUUAGAUACCCUGGUAGUCCACGCCCUAAACGAUGUCAACUAGGUGUUGGGCACUUAAGUGCUCGGUACCGCAGCUAACGCAUUAAGUUGACCGCCUGGGGAGUACGGCCGCAAGGUUGAAACUCAAAGAAAUUGACGGGGACCCGCACAAGCGGUGGAGCAUGUGGUUUAAUUCGAUGCAACGCGAAGAACCUUACCAGGCCUUGACAUCCAGAGAACUAAGCAGAGAUGCUAUGGUGCCUUCGGGAACUCUGAGACAGGUGUUGCAUGGAUGUCGUCAGCUCGUG
RNAcentral lists this ribosomal RNA (735 nucleotides) under uncultured bacterium. RNAcentral's name for it is "bacterial SSU rRNA". It matches the Rfam family "Bacterial small subunit ribosomal RNA", at positions 335 to 1064 of the family's 1533-position model. The record is from RNAcentral.